AAUAACCAUAAAUUCUGGCUGGAUUGAGUGUCGGGUUAGUCACGACUCGCACAUUUUCCACGGCUGGGUCGUACAAACCGCCGAAGUACAUUGCUUUGGCGACCAAUAAGAACGCACCUAUCCCCAGCAAUACCAGGUGAAUGCCAAGAAUUGUCGUCAUUUUGCCUGUAUCUGCCCA
This 178-nucleotide antisense RNA is filed under the name Chroococcidiopsis thermalis PCC 7203. Its description in RNAcentral is "Antisense RNA which regulates isiA expression". It matches the Rfam family "Antisense RNA which regulates isiA expression". Lineage: Bacteria; Bacillati; Cyanobacteriota; Cyanophyceae; Chroococcidiopsidales; Chroococcidiopsidaceae. The record is from Rfam by way of RNAcentral.